Molecule: long non-coding RNA, 9304 nt
Filed under: Mytilus galloprovincialis (Mediterranean mussel)
Lineage: Eukaryota; Metazoa; Mollusca; Bivalvia; Mytilida; Mytilidae
Source: RNAcentral
CCAAGACUGUCUUUGUUUAUUUUUUUAGACUCGAAAAAAUGAACCGACGUGUAAAAGAUUUGAUGCAGGCAAUACCAUUCAUUUCAUUUUUAUUCAUCAUAACCACCAACAUGAAAGAAGAUAAAAUUCGGAUUUGAACGCAAGGUAUCCGCGUUUGACUCCGGUGAUAAACCAAUUCACAAGACAUCCGUUUUCCAGCGUUGAGGACCCCACCACAUGGUAAACGACUAUUUCGUAAAUCUGGGAAGAUAAACACCAAAUACUGAACAAAGUGAGUGAAAUUAAAAUCCAUAUGUGGUCAGUUCAUAACGACAAUUAAUUCUAAAACCUGGUACCACUGCAAUUUGUCUCUGAUAUGUAUUAUGUUCCCGGUGAUUUUAUAAUUAGGCCAAACAAAAGGUGACAUCCCAUUAGUCCGACAACCAUUAUUCCGACAGCCCAUUACUCCGACAGCCUAUUAUUCCGACAGCCCAUUACUCGACAGCCGCUAUUCCGACAGCCAAUACUCCGACAGCCACUGUUCCGACAGCCCAUUACUCCGACAGCCCAUUACUCCGACAAUGCAUCUGUCUUGUGUGUAUUGGUAAUUUUUCUUUAAAAAAACCAACUCUGUUCUCUUCAAUAUUUGGGGUUGUCCGUUUUGAUUCCUAUUAUUCUUUCCAUGCGGGAGAGUUGAACUUGUCUCAUUAUAUUGGAGUUGAUACACAUGCUAAUUGCUACUGCUAAGUCCUUACAUUCGACCCUGUUUCGUUUUACGUGUUUGGGUAUUUAUUUGUUUACAUUUCGUCGUUUGUGUGUCAACUGUCAGUCUGUGAUGUUCUAGUUCGCCUGGUGUUUUUUAUGAAUACGGUAUCAUGUUCGGGAAUGUGAAUCCACGAAAUACUGAGACAACUACAAGUCACUUCUAAAAACGAAUGAUCAGACAUAGUCUGAGAGAUUACACUCAAUAUAUUUGUAGGGAUACCAAUUUUAUAUCCCAAGCUUAUUUCAAAAUCUAGGAAAAAUAUCCCUUCUUUAAAAUGGUUGGGGGAGGUGCAGGACUUAUGAUUUACAACAAAACUUAUUACGAAAAACAAGUAUGACGGACAUGAACAUUUCGGCAACUUCUAUUUAAAUAUUCAUGAGGAAAAGUGAUAUUCAGGGACUAUAUAUGACAAAGAAACAAACAGUCAACUCAAAAUGACUGCUUUUAAAAAUAGAACGAGUGCAAUAUAAAAGCCAAUAACUAGUAAAAAAUCUAAGACAAUGUGUGAAAUUCUUGUCACGCUUGUGUCUUUGUCAAAUUAUCUAGUUGUAAAAACUUAGUACAGUAUGUGUUUUGUGGCAUACUUGACACUUAUUUUUCAUUAUGUUUCAAGGAGAAAAAUAUUUAGAUAUCAUGGUAGUUCAUAUGUUAAUUAAGAAUCGGUGCUCACCCAUUACAUUAGGAAUAGAAAAUGCCAGAUACUAAAAAAAUCGUAUUGUACAGCUUAUAGGUUGAAGAUGAGCGUCAUUUUUCAAUCGAAUGCUCCCUUCAUAAUAAUUUGAGUGAGGAACUCUUUCAGCAUAUUUCUAGCACUUGUCAGAACUUUAAAAAGUUGGAUAAACAUGAUUAAUCUUCGAUGUCAACACAAGAAAACUUAACUUUUAUUGGAAAAAUUAUGAUUUUAUUAUUAGUUCAUUUGAAUUAUGUAGUACAGGUCUUGAUACUGACUGUUGUUUCAUAUCAAUGUGUUAGUUCUGUUUUUCCUAUUUUGUUUUGGCUCAUAUUGUGACUGAGGCUUAUGGUGAAAUAAAUAUAACUAGUAUAAAUUAGUAUUGUAAUGUCUUAAUGUUGACCCAAUCAUUAUACCGCCGCUUCGAAAAAGUGGGGAGUAUACUGUGUUACCUCUGUCUGACCGUCCAUCCAUCCGUCAGUUCGUCCGUCCGCCCCGUGAAUAUUUUCGUUGCUUCUUUUUCAUGAAAAAAACAUUACACGGAUUUCUGAAAUUUGGUGUCAGGGUUUAUUGAAGUCGGGUUUAUCGCGUGAUGCAUUUUCAGAUUCUUAACUCAACAACUUUCUGUUUACCGAACACUUUUUACAUAAGAGCUAAGUUGAACAUUUUCGUCACACUUUUCUCAGAAACUACAAUACAAUGAUUUCUGAAAUUUGGUUUCAAGGUUUAUAUAAGUCAGUUAUACUGUGUGAUGCUUUUUUAGAUUCACAUCUCAACAAUUUCCUGUUUACCGAAAUAUUUGGGCGGGGUAUCACCAGUAGCUGCACCAUCACUGGUGGUCAUGAUUUGUAUGCUCUUUAUAGACUGUGUUAUUUGGGAAAUGAAAUAUUCUUUUCUGUUCUAUUCUAUAUACUGUUCUAUUCUUUAUACAGAUUUCGAAUUGAAUAUAUAGAAAGUAUUCGAACUACCGUAGUCUUAUGUAUAUAAACGAGUAUUCUAAAUUGCUUACAUAACGUAAUAAUACGAGAGACAAAUAUUUUACCUGAUACUUGACUGAUAGUGUCGACUUAUGGGUGUCGGAGUAUUGGGCGUCGGAGCAAUGGUUGUCGGACUAAUGGGUUGUCGGACCAAGGGCGUCGGACUAAUGGGUCUAACCAAACAAAACAUGCGUGUUCUGAACUUUUCUACAAACAUAUUUUCCUAUUUUGUAAGCGAAAAAAAGCCUACAUGAAGUUUAAUUUUUCAAGACGCAGUGUUAAAGUUAUAAUGUCCCUCCCAUAGACUCAAUCAGUUUAUGUAUAAAAAAAUAAUAAAAAUGUUUAAAUGGGAAAAAAAUUCCUACCUACAUGUACCUAUUAAAAUAUACCCUAUCUAUUCAAAGAUGUAUCAGGAAACACACUCACAUAAUUUUAUAUAUAUGUUCGAAAGAAAGGAGCAGAUAUUAGGAUCAAGGGUCGAUGUUGCCUCAACCUUCGGGUUAAUCUGAAAUAUUUUUGCCACUUUUAUAAAACACUUAAAUCUAAGUGUCCAUACAUUCAUAGACUUUUAAUAGUACAUUGUAAUAGUUGAUUCAAUUAAUUCAUAUGAAAGAUUUUAACUCAUUUAGCUAUUAUGCUGAAAUUCAAGCUUUGAUAUGAAACAAUUAUCAAAUAUGCCAUUAUAUGUCACUUUUGAGAUGGUUUUUGUCAAAAAUGAAAACGAGUGCAUCCAUGUUAAUUCUCAACCUCUAAAUAUGUUAUGUAAAAUGCAUUGCAGCUCGAGUUAUUAUUUCAAACUGGACAGUGUUCAGCGCCAAGUAUUACAAAGUGAUUGGAUCAGAUCAAAAGAUGUAAAUCUUGAAGCACACAUUUCAACAUACAUGACAUAUAACCUAUAGAAAAAAGAGAAUAAGGAAAGACAGUGAAAAACAGGAAAUAUUUGAAAGGGUAAGCAUGGUAAACAUUUCUUUUUAAAUACAAUGUAUAGUAAUAUUCUGAUGAUGAAAUAAAUUUAUUAUAAUUUCCAUAAGGAAAUAAGCAUACCUCAUUUUAUAUUUAUCAUGUUACAAAAAUGAAAAUCUGCUUUAGACUCAAAUAAAUUUUAUAAAAUUUCAGAUAAAUAGUGUUUGAAGUAAACAAUUCAAAGAAAAAAUAAGUUCUGUAAUUGAGUACAAAGAGUCAAUUCAUAUAACAAAAGAGGGAUGUAUAAGUACGCAGCCACACGUUGGGCUGACUGAGCUUUGAUUUUAAUCAAAUUUGGCCAUUUUCUUUCAAAUAUUUUACAAUAAUAAAAGAGUACUUGUGGCAUGAUUGCCAAUGACAUGAGUGAGAUACAUUUGUACCAGACCAGUGCAUUAGAUGAGUCAUGAAAAGUGUCUCUUGUCCCUACAUCAGGAAUACUGAUACAAGCAUUUUUUUAUUUAAAAAACUUGCUUACAGAAUGUGGUUUAAAGUAUAUUUAUUUCUUGGUUUUAAUUUAUAUCAAUUUCUGGUACCUUUAUAAUAUACUUUUGAUAUAUCUCCAUUUGUUUUAUUUUAAUGUUUUAUAGAUACAGCUAUUAUUUCAUAUUGGACAAUGUUCAGCGGCAAGUAUUACAUUGUGAUUUGGAUCAGAUCAAAAGAUGUGUACAUUGAAGCAUACAUUCGGAGCCAUAGAAUAAAAAGAAAAAGAAAUUACAGUGAAAAACAGGUAAUUUUGAAAGGUUUUAUGAUAGACUUAUUAAGAUAAUUUCUAUCCGGAAGUUAGUAUACCUCAUUUCAUAUUUAUUGCUACAAAAUUUGCUUUUCAAUCAAAUAAAUUGUAUAAAAUUUCAGAUAAAUAGUGUUUGAAGUAAACAAUACAAAGAAAACUGAAGUUCGGUAAUUGAGUACCAAGAGUCAAUUCAUAUAACAAAAGAGGGAUGUAUAAGUACGCAGCCACACGUUGGGCUGACUGAGCUUUGAUUUUAAUCAAAUUUGGCCAUUUUCUUUCAAAAUAUUUUACAAUAAUAAAAGAGUACUUGUGGCAUGAUUGCCAAUGACAUGAGUGAGAUACAUUUGUACCAGACCAGUGCAUUAGAUGAGUCAUGAAAAGUGUCUCUUGUCCUCUACAUCAGGAAUACUGAUACAAGCAUUUUUUUUAUUGAAAAAAACUUGCUUACAGAAUGUGGUUUAAAGUAUAUUUAUUUCUUGGUUUUAAUUUAUAUCAAUUUCUGGUACCUUUAUAAUAUACUUUUGAUAUAUCUCCAUUUGUUUUAUUUUAAUGUUUUAUAGAUACAGCUAUUAUUUCAUAUUGGACAAUGUUCAGCGGCAAGUAUUACAAAGUGAUUGGAUCAGAUCAAAUCAAAAGAUGUAAAUCUUGAAGCACACAUUCCGACUUGUAGAAUAAACAUGAUAAAGAGAUGAAGGAAAGACAGUGAAAAACAGGAAAUAUUUUAAAGGGUAAACAUGGUACACAUUUCGUUUUUAAAUACAAUGUAUAGUAAUAUACUGACGAUGAAAUAAAUUUAUGAUAGUUUCCAUCAGGAAAUAAGCGUAGCUCAUUUUAUCUUUAUUGUUACAAAAUAUGCUUUACACUCAAAUAAAUUGUAUAAAAUUUCAGAUAAAUAGUGUUUGAAGUAAACAAUACAAAGAAAAAUAAGUUCGGUAAUUGAGAACAAAGAGUCAAUUCAUAUCACAAAAGUUGGAUGUAUAAGUACGCAGCCACACAUUGGGCUGACUGAGCUUUGAUUUUAAUCAAAUUUGGCCACUUUCUUUCAAAUAUUUUACAAUAAUAAAAGAGAACUUGUGGCAUGAUUGCCAAUGACAUGAAUGAGAUAUGUUUGUACCAGAGACCAAAGUGCAUUAGAUGAGUACUGAAAAGUGUCUCUUGUCCUCUACAUCAGGAAUACUGGUACAAGCAUUUUUUAUUGGAAAAAACUUGCUUACAGAUUGUGGUUUAAAGUAUAUUUAUUUCUUAGUUAUAAUGUAUAUCAGUUUCUGGUACCUUUAUAAUAUACUUUUGAUAUGUCUCCAUUUGUUUUAUUUUAAUGUUUUAUAGAAACAGCUUUUAUUUCGUAGUGGACAAUGUUCAGCGGCAAGUAUUACAAUGUGAUUUGGAUCAGAUCAAAAGAUGUUUACAUUGAAGCAUACAUUCCGACCAAUAGAAUAAAGAGAAAAAGAUGAUACAGUGAAAAACAGGAAAUAUUUGAAAGGGUAAACAUUUCUUUUUUAAAUAUGAUAGACUUAUUAUGAUAAUUUCCAUCCGGAAAUUAGUAUACCUCAUUUCAUAUUUAUUGUUACAAAAUUUGCUUUACAAAUAAAUUCUAUAAAAUUUCAGAUAAAUAGUGUUUGAAAUAAACAAUACAAAGAAAAACUAAGUUCGGUAAUUGAGAACAAAGAGUCAAUUCAUAUAACAAAAGAGGGAUGUAUAAGUACGUAGCCACACAUUGGGCUGACUGAGCUUUGAUUUUAAUCAAAUUUGGCAACUUUCUUUCAAAUAUUUUACAAUAAUAAAAGAGAACUUGUGGCAUGAUUGCCAAUGAGAUAACUUUGUACAAGAGAUCAAAGUGCAUUAGAUGAGUUUAAAGUGUCUCUUGUCCUCUACAUCAGGAAUACUGAUACAAGCAUUUUUUAUUAGAAAAACUUACUUACAGAUUGUGGUUUAAAGUAUAUUUAUUUCUUAGUUAUAAUUUAUAUCAAUUUCUGGUACCUUUAUAACAAACUUUUAAUAUGUCUCCAUUUUUUUUAUUUUAAUGUUUUAUAGAUACAGCUAUUAUUUCAUAUUGGACAAUGUUCAGCGGCAAGUAUUACAUUGUGAUUUGGAUCAGAUCAAAAGAUGUGUACAUUAAGAGAUACAUUCGGAGCCAUAGAAUAAAAAGAAAAAGAAAUUACAGUGAAAAACAGGUAACUUUGAAAGGUUAAACAGUUCUGUUUUAAAUAUGAUAGACUUAUUAAGAUAAUUUCUAUCCGGAAAUUAGUAUACCUCAUUUCAUAUUUAUUGCAACAAAAUUUGCUUUACAAUUAAAUUGUAUAAAAUUUCAGAUAAAUUGUGUUAAAAGUAAACAAUACAAAGAAAAAAUAAGUUCGGUAAUUGAAUACAAAGAGUUGAUUUUAUAUAACAAAAGAGGGAUGUAUAAGUACAAAGCCACACAUUGGGCUGACUUAGAUUUGAUUUCAUUCAAAUUUGGCAACUUUCUUUCAAAUAUUUUACAAUAUAAUAAAAGAGAACUUGUGGAAUGAUUGCCAAUAAGAUAACUUUGUACCAGAGACCAAAGUGCAUAAGAUGAGUACUGAAAAGUGUCUUUUGUCUAUUACUGACUGAUACAUGUAUAAGCCUUUUUUUUAUGGAAAAUAUUUACUUUCAGAUUGUGGUUUAAAGUAGCAUACAUUUCUUAGUUAUAGUUUAUAUCAAUUGCUGGUACCUUUAUAACAAACUUUUAAUAUGCCUCCAUUUGUUUUAUUUUGAUGUUUUAUAGAUACAGCUAUUAUUUCAAAAAGGACAGUGUUCAGCAGCAAGUAUUACAAUGUGAUUUGGAUCCAAUCAAAAGCACAAACUGACAAAUGAAAUAUCAAAGAAUUAUCCACAGACAAUUCUAAAAGAUAGUGAGAGACAGGAAAUAUUUGAUAAGGUUAACAUUUUUAAAUAGUAAGCAGAUUGUGGCCUAAUUAUGAUUUAUAAACCUAGAUUAAGAUAUACAAAAUGUAUGAAAAUUUUGCUUGUACUUUUUCAAAUAAUACAAUUUGUUUUCAUAGUAAUUCUCACAUAUUACAAUUGUGAUAAAGGCUUAACAGAUAUUUAUACAUGUUACAAAUAGUAUUAUCAUUGUCAGUAUAAUUGUUUCACAAAUUAGGAUUAUUUAAUCAUCUCUGCUGUAAAAUUAUAAAAAAAAAUUAAGAUAGUCAUUUACUGGUUAGAGUCUUAACAAGUGGUAAUUGUGUACUUUUAUUAUUUACCAAUUUACUCCUAUUAAAGAUGUGUCAUUCUUUGUAAGAGGUAUAUCAGGGCAAUGCAAAGUGAUAAAAUAUGUUAAACUGUAUCCUCUUAAAAAAAUGUCAGAUUUCAGGUAAAGGGGAAAUAACUCUUACAAUAUCAAAACACUGAAAAUAAGAACUUUGAGAAUAUCAUUUUUUUUUUAAACUUGUAUAUCCUGGAUAUUUUAAUCAUUACACUAUGAUAUUUAAACACAUUACCAUAUGAUGUUAAAACACAGUACCAAUGUACAUAAAGAGUGCAUGUCAUAUUUUAAGUCAAGGGGAAAUAACCUUUACAAUAUCAAAAUAUUUAAAUUAGAAAUGUAAGAGUAUUACAUAUAUUAUACUGUUUUCAACUUCAACAAAAUGGUUUUUAAUACUGUUUAAUCAUAUAUUUUUAUAUUCUCAGCUUGAACAGAACAUCUAUCCAGCACUUGAAACUUUUUUUUUCUUCAAAUUAUCAUGAAGUUUUAUAUUUUACAGAAGUAUCAUACAAUAAUGUGCAGUCAAGAACUUGGUGUUAUUCGGGACAUGGAUUAAAUGGAUCAUGAACCAAAUUUCAGAUUGUGAUAAUGGUAAGUAAUUGUAACCAACUAUGUCUUGAAUAUUCACAUACAUAAAAAUGAAUAUAGGUUGAAACUGUCAUCCAGCAGUUAACAAUUUUUAUCAUUCAGAAAGAAAAAUGUGCAAAAAAGUAAUAAAUUUCGGAUUGAAACACAUUAUAAGAAAUUAGCUUAAAUGUCAUGAAAGUUAUUAUAUGUUGAUUCUCAUAUUUUUCUCUGUGAUUUAUAAAUUUAAUUCCUUCUGGCAAGCACUGACUCAGUAUAGGACUUGAGAAAAUUGUCAAGACAAAUCACAAAUGAAGUAUUUGAGAACAUGAAGCACAUUAAAACUAUUUGAGAACACUGUCAAUGUCAAGUACAUAAAUAUAUUUGAGAAAUACAAUUUGAGAAAACUGUCAACAUAAAGUACAUAGAAAUUAUUUUGAGAAAUAUUAUUUGAGAAACACUGUGAACAAGAAGCACAUAAACUAUUUGCGAAAAGACUGUCAAUAUGAAGCACAUAAACUAUUUGAGAAACACCGUCAACAUGAAGCACAUAAACUAUUUGACCAACACCGUCAACAUGAAGCACAUUAAACUGUUUGACCAACACGUCAACAUGAAGCACAUUAAAACUAUUUGACCAACACCGUCAACAUGAAGCACAUAAACUAUUUGACCAACACCGUCAAUAUGAAGCACAUAAAGUAUUUGACCAACACCGUCAACAUGAAGCACAUAAACUAUUUGACCAACACCGUCAACAUGCAUAAACUAUUUCACCAACACCGUCAACGUGAAGCACAUAAACUAUUUGACCAACACCGUCAAUGUGAAGCACAUAAACUAUUUGACCAACACCGUCAAUGUGAAGCACAUAAAUAUAUUUGAUAAAUGCUGUCAACAUGAAGCACAUAAAAAAUAUUUGAGACAAAUGUCAACCUGUAGCACACAAACAAUUUGAAAAGAAAUUGUCAAUCUGAAGCAGCCAAACUGCUUGAAAAAAAACUUAACAUGUAAUAUAAACCCUACUUGAUACAACUUUCAACAUGAAGCCCAAAUGAAAUAUUUACAUAAAAUAUGGCCCUGUCACGUUGGCCACUUUACUGAGUAAAGAGUUUCCAGUUGAUACCGCGUGGAGGUGUGACUUGGACUUGGUCAUAUUAACCCAUUUAUCAACCUUUUUUUUUUUUUUUUUUCUUCAUUAUGUAAGAAGAUUUUUUUUUUUAUUAAAAAAGUGUAAUUUAAUUUUAACAGUAUAAAUUUUAAAUAUGAGCAUACAUAUCAACACAACACAAACUGUAUCUAUAUUUUUUAUUACUGCUAAGUCGGAACUUCUACUGUAUUAUGUAAAAAAAAAAUAAUUCUCACCGAACAUUAUUUUUGAAUAUAUUCUGCUUUCAGAAUGUGAAAACAGAUGAAUUCAAGUGGACAGCUA